UACAAAGCCAAUGGCUAGAGAUCCGACUGAUAUAGAUAACCCUUGAGAACUUGAGGCCCCUGGAGAUGGUGCUUGUGCUUGCUCGUUCGAUCCAGAGGUCGAAGUAGAACUAGGUGCAACAGCAAUAGAUGGUGGAGAUACACCUGUGACAGCAAUUAACCAAUUUGAUAAAACUUAUCCACUUGACACGCGAAUUCACAUGAUCAAAUGCGAAAUUGCACACAUAUAACUAUCCUCAACUCCCUGCCCCAUAAACAACUCUCCCCAUCAAGCAAUGUGGGGCGGUGUUUGGGUGGGGAGGACCUCUCAUCUCCUUUUACUCGUUAUGCUAACAAAAUGAUAAAGUCAACUCAAGCAACACAUUUAAUGUAUAAACCGAAGGAGACUUGAGAAAAGUAUCCUUCCCUGCCAUUUUUCCCACAGAGUUGGUUUUAGCCCACAGGUAUAAUCAAACUCAUAACCCAUGUAAUCUACUUCGUUAUAGACCAAUGUGAGAGCUAAUUACCAAAUUUGGUACUUCCAUUAUUUGAAAUAUAGAUCUUAAACAAAAGCAGAAUCAGCAUUUUAUUUUCAUCAAAAAAGUGAGAAAAAUCUAGUAGACAAGACCAAAUCAAAGCAGAGAAUGUCUGCAACAAAUAAAUAAAAACCCUUAUCAUAGUAAUCACCUUCUGAACUGCAUGAAUAUAGAUUGCAUGUAAAUGUUAUCACAAUGAAACCCAACAGAAUCAAGAAUUAAAAUGCCAAGAUGCAGAGUAUUAUCAUUAAAGAUCAGGAUCAUAACAUACCAGGAGAACCAGUGGGAGCCAAAGACAAUCCACAGUCAGAGACAGAAGGGGCAUGCAGCUUGCAUGCAGCAGGUAAAGCAAGAGCCUUGGUGACAUUCAGAACAACACCAUACUGAGCACUACUCUUGAAAGCCACACAGAGACACUCCGCAUCAGUUUUCAACACAAUUUUCAAUCCAGAGCAACAAGUGCUCUCUGGUUUGGUUGUGGUAUUGUCGUUUGACACAUAAGACAAACAGUCAGCCAUUUUCGGCACCAAACUGGAGCAGUGUAAGGAGGGCGCCGGAGCUGCGGCGUGGUGGUGGGUCGCAUGAGUGGCAGAGAUGGAGAAGACGGAGAGAACGAAGAGGAUGAGAGAGAGAGUUGACGCCAUUUUUAAAGAGAAUUGAAGUAUAGUGGAGUGCUGAAGAAGUGGGGUGUUGUUGUUGGAGAUUAAUAAAGAGAAAUG
This 1233-nucleotide unclassified non-coding RNA is filed under the name Hevea brasiliensis (rubber tree). Lineage: Eukaryota; Viridiplantae; Streptophyta; Magnoliopsida; Malpighiales; Euphorbiaceae. The record is from RNAcentral.